Molecule: long non-coding RNA, 829 nt
Filed under: Numida meleagris (helmeted guineafowl)
Lineage: Eukaryota; Metazoa; Chordata; Aves; Galliformes; Numididae
Description: lncRNA (ENSNMEG00000020963.1)
Source: RNAcentral
AGGAAAAUAUCACUUGGAAGUCAUCCAGACUAUUGUAAUCAUCCUCAUUCUGUCUCAAGUUGUUUUCUGUGAUGGGCCUUGCUGGAAAGAGCUUUCUGAUGGCACGGCUGUGAGUGAAACCAGCACAAUAUGUUCACCGUGGAGGACCUCCUGAUUUCUCAUGAAUACAAAUUGUUUAAAAAACUCCCUGCUUCAUUCAAGAACAGCAUUUAUUGAUGUCCACAGAAAAAAGGAAUCAAAAUCCAGGAAAGAGGGAGCCUAUCAGAAAAAAAUGCAGAAGACCCUAGAAGAACUAGAGGUAAUUACAGAUCACAGAUGACCUUCAGCUGAUAUCAUUGAGCCCUGACCUGCCUCAGUGAUCUGCUCACACAGAAUACAUAUGCUGAACAGUGCUGGUGUGUGCAGUAGGGCACUUUCCUUCAUUAUCUGUCCUUGGUUUCACGUGCCUGAUUUCCCACUAUCAGGGAGACAAGGAGUUCUGGAUGAAGCAAUCUUUUUCUCACAACAUGGCUACCAGCUCAGUGGCGAGAAACACCUUGUUGGCUCCCAUGAAGGUUACCGAAUUGCAAGCUGUGCACGGGUCUUUAAAGCAGAAUUCUUUAGAUCGUGAGAGUCUGUAAUAGGACAUAAAUGGACAUUUCAUCUAUAAAAUGCCUACUCAUACACCGUCCUCACACCACAGCUAAUGCAUCAAAACCUGAAAUAGUUUCUGUGCGACAAUUUAUUUCCCUGGCCACAGAAAAUAAUGUCUUGUAUUAUCAAUAGAUUUUCCAUAGUACUUAGAUGUUCUGCUAAGAUAUCUUACAAACUUGUGCUGUGAGCUGUAUUU